AUACGUAGGGGGCGAGCGUUGUCCGGAAUUACUGGGCGUAAAGGGUGCGUAGGUGGCACUUUAAGUUGGAUGUGAAAUCCCCGUGCUUAACAUGGGAGCUGCAUCCAAUACUGGAGAGCUAGAGUGCAGGAGAGGUAAGCGGAAUUCCUAGUGUAGCGGUGAAAUGCGUAGAUAUUAGGAGGAACACCAGUGGCGAAGGCGGCUUACUGGACCGUAACUGACACUGAGGCACGAAAGCGUGGGGAGCAAACAGGAUUAGAUACCCUGGUAGUCCACGCUGUAAACGAUGAAUACUAGGUGUAGGGGGUAUCAACUCCCUCUGUGCCGCAGCAAACGCAAUAAGUAUUCCGCCUGGGGAGUACGGCCGCAAGGUUGAAACUCAAAUGAAUUGACGGGG
Molecule: ribosomal RNA, 397 nt
Filed under: uncultured bacterium
Lineage: Bacteria
Description: partial 16S ribosomal RNA
Rfam family: Bacterial small subunit ribosomal RNA
Source: RNAcentral